Molecule: ribosomal RNA, 492 nt
Filed under: uncultured bacterium
Lineage: Bacteria
Description: partial 16S ribosomal RNA
Rfam family: Bacterial small subunit ribosomal RNA
Source: RNAcentral
AGUGAACGCUGGCGGUAGGCCUAACACAUGCAAGUCGAACGGCAGCACAGUAAGAGCUUGCUCUUACGGGUGGCGAGUGGCGGACGGGUGAGGAAUACAUCGGAAUCUACUUUUUCGUGGGGGAUAACGUAGGGAAACUUACGCUAAUACCGCAUACGACCUACGGGUGAAAGCAUGGGAUCUUCGGACCUUGCGCGAUUGAAUGAGCCGAUGUCGGAUUAGCUAGUUGGCGGGGUAAAGGCCCACCAAGGCGACGAUCCGUAGCUGGUCUGAGAGGAUGAUCAGCGACACUGGAACUGAGACACGGUCCAGACUCCUACGGGAGGCAGCAGUGGGGAAUAUUGGACAAUGGGCGCAAGCCUGAUCCAGCCAUACCGCGUGGGUGAAGAAGGCCUUCGGGUUGUAAAGACCUUUUGUUGGGAAAGAAAAGCAGCAGGUUAAUACCCCGCUGUUCUGACGGUACCCAAAGAAUAAGCACCGGCUAACUUCGUG